RNAcentral lists this ribosomal RNA (234 nucleotides) under uncultured bacterium. RNAcentral's name for it is "partial 16S ribosomal RNA". It matches the Rfam family "Bacterial small subunit ribosomal RNA", at positions 96 to 334 of the family's 1533-position model. The record is from RNAcentral.
UGGCGCACGGGUGAGUAACGCGUAACUGACCUACCCCGAAGUCUGGAAUAACUGGCCGAAAGGUCAGCUAAUACUGGAUACCCACAUGACUUUUGAGUCAUGUGGAAAGAUUUAUUGCUUUGGGACGGGGUUACGUUCCAUCAGCUAGUUGGUAGGGUAAAGGCCUACCAAGGCGACGACGGAUAGCCGGCCUGAGAGGGUGGCCGGCCACAGGGGCACUGAGACACGGGCCCC